This 497-nucleotide ribosomal RNA is filed under the name uncultured bacterium. RNAcentral describes it as "partial 16S ribosomal RNA". It matches the Rfam family "Bacterial small subunit ribosomal RNA", at positions 28 to 507 of the family's 1533-position model. The record is from RNAcentral.
GAUGGACGCUGGCGGCGUGCCUAAUACAUGCAAGUCGAGCGAACAGACGAGGAGCUUGCUCCUCUGACGUUAGCGGCGGACGGGUGAGUAACACGUGGAUAACCUACCUAUAAGACUGGGAUAACUUCGGGAAACCGGAGCUAAUACCGGAUAAUAUAUUGAACCGCAUGGUUCAAUAGUGAAAGACGGUUUUGCUGUCACUUAUAGAUGGAUCCGCGCCGCAUUAGCUAGUUGGUAAGGUAACGGCUUACCAAGGCAACGAUGCGUAGCCGACCUGAGGGGGUGAUCGGCCACACUGGAACUGAGACACGGUCCAGACUCCUACGGGAGGCAGCAGUAGGGAAUCUUCCGCAAUGGGCGAAAGCCUGACGGAGCAACGCCGCGUGAGUGAUGAAGGUCUUCGGAUCGUAAAACUCUGUUAUUAGGGAAGAACAAAUGUGUAAGUAACUAUGCACGUCUUGACGGUACCUAAUCAGAAAGCCACGGCUAACUACGUG